RNAcentral lists this ribosomal RNA (252 nucleotides) under uncultured Bacteroidales bacterium. Its description in RNAcentral is "partial 16S ribosomal RNA". It matches the Rfam family "Bacterial small subunit ribosomal RNA", at positions 524 to 776 of the family's 1533-position model. Lineage: Bacteria; Pseudomonadati; Bacteroidota; Bacteroidia; Bacteroidales. The record is from RNAcentral.
UACGGAGGAUGCGAGCGUUAUCCGGAUUUAUUGGGUUUAAAGGGAGCGCAGGCGGUCUGUUAAGUCAGCGGUAAAAGCCCGGGGCUCAACCCCGGCGAGCCGUUGAAACUGGCGGCCUCGAGUGGGCGAGAAGUAUGCGGAAUGCGUGGUGUAGCGGUGAAAUGCUUAGAUAUCACGAAGAACUCCGAUUGCGAAGGCAGCAUGCCGGCUCCACACUGACGCUGAGGCACGAAAGCGUGGGUAUCGAACAGG